Molecule: ribosomal RNA, 253 nt
Filed under: uncultured bacterium
Lineage: Bacteria
Description: partial 16S ribosomal RNA
Rfam family: Bacterial small subunit ribosomal RNA
Source: RNAcentral
UACGGAGGGUGCGAGCGUUGUCCGGAAUCACUGGGCGUAAAGGGCGCGUAGGCGGCUCAUGAAGGCUGUGGUGAAAGUCCGGGCUCAACCUCGGAUCGGCCGUGGCGACUCGUGGGCUGGAGCACUGUAGAGGCGGGUGGAAUUCCGGGUGUAGCGGUGGAAUGCGUAGAGAUCCGGAAGAACACCAGUGGCGAAGGCGGCCCGCUGGGCAGUGGCUGACGCUGAAGCGCGACAGCGUGGGGAGCAAACGAGG